This 253-nucleotide ribosomal RNA is filed under the name uncultured bacterium. Its description in RNAcentral is "partial 16S ribosomal RNA". It matches the Rfam family "Bacterial small subunit ribosomal RNA", at positions 524 to 776 of the family's 1533-position model. The record is from RNAcentral.
UACGGAGGGUGCAAGCGUUAUCCGGAUUCACUGGGUUUAAAGGGUGCGUAGGUGGGUCUUUAAGUCCGUGGUGAAAUCUCCAAGCUUAACUUGGAAACUGCCAUGGAUACUAUAGGUCUUGAAUACCGUGGAGGUGAGCGGAAUAUGUCAUGUAGCGGUGAAAUGCUUAGAUAUGACAUAGAACACCAAUUGCGAAGGCAGCUCACUACACGAAUAUUGACACUGAGGCACGAAAGCGUGGGGAUCAAACAGG